CCCCCCCCCAGAAGCGCUGGGCCAACGAGCAGCUGCUGCACCCUGAAAAAACCACAUGCGAGGAGGAAAACCUCUACGAGGGGCUGAACCUGGACGAGUGUUCGAUGUACGAGGACAUUUCCCGGGGGGUCCAACCCACCUACCAGGAUGUGGGGACCCUCCCCGGUGACUCCCAGCUGGAAAAGCCCUGAGGGACCCCCUGAAAAAGGGGGGUGGGAACCCCCAGGAAGGGGUUUGGGACCCCCUGGCUCUGCUUGGCCCCCCCCAAUGCUCUGCUCUGGUGACACAAGGCUGUGCUGACCCCCCCCAAAAUAAAGCUGCUGUGCUGCCG
Molecule: long non-coding RNA, 331 nt
Organism: Corapipo altera (White-ruffed manakin)
Lineage: Eukaryota; Metazoa; Chordata; Aves; Passeriformes; Pipridae
Exons: 2
Source: RefSeq, a predicted model, not a curated record